Molecule: ribosomal RNA, 140 nt
Filed under: Thalassomonas sp. M1454
Lineage: Bacteria; Pseudomonadati; Pseudomonadota; Gammaproteobacteria; Alteromonadales; Colwelliaceae
Description: partial 23S ribosomal RNA
Rfam family: Bacterial large subunit ribosomal RNA
Source: RNAcentral
GUUGUAUGGUUAAGUGACUAAGCGUAUGUGGUGGAUGCCUUGGCAGUUAGAGGCGAUGAAGGACGUGUUAAUCUGCGAAAAGCUGAGUUAAGGUGAUAAAAACCGUUAUAGGCUCAGAUGUCCGAAUGGGGGAACCCACC